Molecule: ribosomal RNA, 440 nt
Filed under: uncultured bacterium
Lineage: Bacteria
Description: partial 16S ribosomal RNA
Rfam family: Bacterial small subunit ribosomal RNA
Source: RNAcentral
CCUACGGGAGGCAGCAGUGGGGAAUAUUGCACAAUGGGGGAAACCCUGAUGCAGCGACGCCGCGUGAAGGAAGAAGUAUUUCGGUAUGUAAACUUCUAUCAGCAGGGAAGAAAAUGACGGUACCUGACUAAGAAGCCCCGGCUAACUACGUGCCAGCAGCCGCGGUAAUACGUAGGGGGCAAGCGUUAUCCGGAUUUACUGGGUGUAAAGGGAGCGUAGGCGGGUUAGCAAGUCAGAAGUGAAAGCCCGGGGCUCAACUCCGGGACUGCUUUUGAAACUGUUGAACUAGAGUGCAGGAGAGGUAAGUGGAAUUCCUAGUGUAGCGGUGAAAUGCGUAGAUAUUAGGAGGAACACCAGUGGCGAAGGCGGCUUACUGGACUGUAAAUGACGCUGAGGCUCGAAAGCGUGGGGAGCAAACAGGAUUAGAUACCCCUGUAGUC